UGAGUGUUUAAAAUGAGCAAA
This 21-nucleotide non-coding RNA is filed under the name Caenorhabditis elegans. Lineage: Eukaryota; Metazoa; Nematoda; Chromadorea; Rhabditida; Rhabditidae. The record is from RNAcentral.